GAUAGGUCUCUGUCGCUACAGUGAUUGGACACUGACACAGAGUCAACUAGCCUUGUGCACGCGGUCAGCCGCAGGAAAACACGGACGGUCCGAGCCAUGAGGGGGGAGGCUCGGACCGUCCGUU
This 124-nucleotide non-coding RNA is filed under the name Streptomyces sp. CB03234. RNAcentral's name for it is "Streptomyces RNA 3920". It matches the Rfam family "Streptomyces RNA 3920". From Rfam's summary of the family: Identified by deep sequencing of transcriptome at the end of exponential growth phase. Sequencing size consistent with northern blot size. Streptomyces specific. Lineage: Bacteria; Bacillati; Actinomycetota; Actinomycetes; Kitasatosporales; Streptomycetaceae. The record is from Rfam by way of RNAcentral.